Molecule: long non-coding RNA, 2466 nt
Organism: Lagopus muta (rock ptarmigan)
Lineage: Eukaryota; Metazoa; Chordata; Aves; Galliformes; Phasianidae
Exons: 4
Source: RefSeq, a predicted model, not a curated record
CAUUUUCAGGCAGACUUCUCUGAAUAUCAAGAUAUACAUGAUAGUUCCUAAGUUGGAAAGGACUUCUGUAUUCUGUGUUUAUAGAAAUGAAGCAUUUCAACUGACAUUGUAGUGCCACAAAAAAAUUGAGAGACACUUGCCUCACACUUCCCACAAAUUAUAGGCUACUUGUGGGACUUGUUCAGACUUGGUUCACUUUGAAUGAUGUUUAAUAUUACUAAAAACAGCAAAAUAUUUGAAAGUUAAAUGCUGCUUUCAGAAGUGAUAAAAUAUUUAAGAGUUAGCUGAGAGCCCAAAAAACUGUGUCACAGUCCCCAUUGCAAUUGCAUCUACUUCUCUUAUACAACAUGGUUUUUGCUCGUACAUAAUGGAAAUACUAAGUCAUGUCUUGAACCAGUGAUUGAGCACCUGGUGGGAAGGCAGGACCAACCCAGAGCCCAGCAAUGCACCUGAGUGACUGGAAGGGGCGAAGCCAGGAUCCAUCCCUUCCCAGACCUCAUUUAAGGGUUGGUAGGUGGAGGCAGGGGUAUCUCUUUGGAGAUCCUUUUGCACCUGAGGCUUCUAAGGAAAUAAUUCAAAGCAUGUGAAGCUCCACAUCGUGUGAGAAACACUAUUGUAUCUGACCCUGGAACUUCCAAAGGCAGCUCCAGUGAGAGUCUGGGAAUUAUGUUAUUUCUUUCCUCAGAGAGUUCACACUUUAACAGAUCUGUGUACCAGAUUCCUUCUAAGAAAUCUCAAAUGUCUUUGGCAAGAGGAAAUCACUGUGGAGUCUGACUGGAUCAAGGAGAACAGGGCAUGCUCACUGUGAGGGAUUCCACAGUCUCUCUGUUCAAGAUGUUUGACUUCUAGUGAAUAUAAUUCUUAACUAAACUGGAUCAAGGCCUCCUAUGUGGGAAUUAUUAAAACCUGCAAAGAAUAGGGAAGUUCAGAAAUCAUUGGAUGCUGAACUCUAUGAAGAUGUAGAAGACUCACAUAAAAGAAAGAAAUGCAUUGUUCUCCAUGUGUACUUGUGUCUGAACAAGAAUUACAGGGCUUAAAAUGUAAGGAAGAUGCCUCUGUGAAAUGUGUGUCUACCUGAAGGACAGGGAGGAGGACCUCCUCUUCACAAAUGUGCCUGGACAGUCUAUCUCUUUCUGAUCUAAGUACAGUGUGUUUGUGCUUUUGCAGAGGAUACACUGAUGAUGACAGGCUUAAUUAGUUGUAUCUAUAAUUAAUAUGCUCUAUAAUGUUUGAUAUGUGGAAUAUUAAAUACCUGAAAGAGUUUUAAGAUUUUACCUGACUGAAUCCAAAACAUUAUGAAAAUGGGAACUGGGAUUUUUCUAUAUAUUUUCUGUAUAUUUCUGUAUUUCCUAUAGAAACAUACUGAAGUCAAAAGUACAGCUAGAAGAUGAUAUUCUUGUAUCUAUGGUCAUUUAAUUUACAUGCUUUGUUGUUUUUUUUUUUUUUUUUUAAAUUCAUCCUUCAAAGCACAGUUUGAGUUUCAGUUUUUCAAUUUAAAACAGCGUGCGAUUAUUCACAUUGUUUUACCAUCAUCUCUUUCUCGCUUUGUGUAACCCGGUGGGUGGAUCGUGUUACAACUGGAAAACUAAUUGUGUUCUGUCUUCAUGAAGAGAAGGAAUUAGUAUGUAAAUGGAGUGGUGGCAGUAUAGAAGAAGCUAAGCUGUAGAGGUUAUGCUUCGUAAACUGGGAACGCACAGAAUUUGCUGAAAGUUUCCAGAAGCUCACCAUGCAGUCACUAUGCAGUCAGACGGUGCUUUUGAGGUGUUUCUGAUAGGUGUAUGGCGAUGGCCUCUUGUAGGCUGCAGUCACACAUCUUACUGCACAGGCCCUCCUGCAAGGCAUCAGAGUAAAGCUUCCACUAGACAAGUCCAUGCUAGGUGGAGGGUUUAGUAAGUUGUCGAUUAGGUGGGAGGUUGUGUAACCAUAUUUAGAGGUUUCUGAGAGCAACACUAAUGCAAGACUUCUCCCAGCAAUGACAAGAUACAGAUGAUUUAACUUAAGAACAUUGAGGUUUUUGAAACUCUGUUUUCAAGAUCGUGUCUUUGACUUCCUAAAAUCCGGCACCUAUUUUAUGGAAAAGAAUCUGUAUUCUACUUCAUUUUGUUGACAAAUGGUAUGAAAAUGUUCACUUCCAAAUUUAUUAAUUUUCAUGUAAAGACCUGAACAUGUGAUAAAGACAAAUUGUACUUCUGUGUCCAUAACACUGUUUCAAUGACAUGUACACUUCCACCUCAGAGACCAAGUCCAAGAAGAAUUAAACACAAAUCUGUUGCCAUGCAUUUGUACAACUGACUUAGUCAUUUUUGUAUAUAGGAAUGAAUAACUGCAGCUGUGUUCCCUACAGUAGAAUUGGUGAACAGAAGGUAAAACUUCUGAAAAUAUCAGCUAGGUCAUCCUAUAAUGAGGGACUGAAUCUGGGGCAAACAUACUUGAGGAAUGUAGGGAGUUCAGAUAGGCUUUUUCACG